Molecule: long non-coding RNA, 994 nt
Organism: Salvia miltiorrhiza (redroot sage)
Lineage: Eukaryota; Viridiplantae; Streptophyta; Magnoliopsida; Lamiales; Lamiaceae
Exons: 2
Source: RefSeq, a predicted model, not a curated record
ACUAGUACAAGUUUGUUGGAGAGAAAUUCUCCGACAGUUCCCAAUUUCAUCUGUACAAAGCCUUGAUCCUUUUCACAGGAGCUGGCCCCAAGAAUUUGUUCUUCACUUUAAGCCUUCUUCUCAACUCAUCUUCCCAACUUUGAAUUGUUUCCAGAGCAAGUGCAAGUUCUUUCAGCUGAACACCAAUCCAUCUUGGCCCUGCAAAUCAAUUUUGAGUCACAACAAGCAUAAUCCUUUCAUGUCACAGCAUUCUGCUUUCAUUUCAUAAACUGUUACAAGCGCGCAUACAUCUAAGUUUACUAAUUGAUAAAAAUUGGAUCUUUAUACUUAAUUUGGAGAGAAUUGAAAUAGAAGCAAGCCUUAAGCCUGCUGAUUGUUGUCUCGGUUGAGUGAUUUGGGGCCGAGGGUGAGAAUCACGGCGGCGGCGGUGGCUGCUGUUCACCGUGAGAUAGCGAGGGAGGUGGGGCUGCUGACAGAAUCGCGGCAACGGCUUCUCUCCGUUGGCCGUCUGUAAGAGGGAACGAGGGAAUUGGAGCAGGGCAGAGGGCGGCGGCGAUAGAGCCAGGGAAUUGGUGGUUGUGGCGAGCUAUUAACGAGGGGGCCAUUGGUGGUGAGAGAGAGUCGGCGAGAGGGGGAAGUCCUGCUGGCUGCCGACUGUUCGGCGAUGGAGGUCGGCCCAGCUGUGCUUCCUGCUAUGGGGAAGAAGGCGGCGGCGAUUCUCGCCGCUCGCCGAGAGGGGUUUUCUGUAAUUGGAAGAAUUUUGGCGUUUUUGGUGUUUUGAGUCAGGGUAGGAGAAGGAGGCGACGCCGGGACUGAGAAGUGGCGUAGGCGGCGGCGAGGAGACAGAGAGGGACCGGAGAGAGGCAGUUGGCGUGAGAAAGAAGGAAAGAAAGAGAGAGAAGUAGACAGCGGCUGAGAGGCGAGGGGCGGAGGCGAGACGCAGGCUGCGAUUUUGCCGGAGAUUGGCGUGGCAGGCGGCUGAGAGAGAAGAAGG